CGGUGUUUCUGCAGAGCACAAACUCAGGCUCUGCCUGCCACACAGAUGUGUAAUCUGUGAUUCCUUAACGGCAGAGUCCCGAUGUGACUGGGAACUGAUAAGCACAAGGACCAUAUCUGCCAUUCACCACAGAUCCUCAGCAUCUGGAGGAAGUAUAGAGCAGGGGCGACACACUAUGGGCUCCAGGCCAAACCUGGCCUACUGCUUGUUUCUACAAAUAAAGUUUUAUCAAAACACGGACCUGCUCAGUUGUGUUUAUACUACCUUUUGCAGCUUUUGCACCACGAUGAAAGAGUUGAGCUAGGCUGGUCCUAUGGUUCACAAAGCCUAAAAGAUUUUUCUAUCUUGCCCUAAACAGAAACCUGAAUACCGGCAAAGGAUCACUGACAAACUCACGCUUUGCUGAACGGCUGGGGGAAUAAAAAAAGAAAGGCCUGUGCCCUAGUUCAGCUCACUUUGGUCACAUGGGGCAGCAGAUGCACGGACAAAGGAAUCCCUGGGUUGGGGGGUGCGGUGACUUACAGCCUGCUGGCAGUCUUUUUGGAAGAAGGGGGGCCGAUCCACCAGGCAGGACAGCACAAACUCAGCCACGACCAGCGACAGACUCAGGUAAGUGGACAGGUGGCGCAGGGGGUCACGCUGGAAGUCCUGCAGGAGAGAAUGCAGAAGCCACGCUGGGCUGCAGCUGGCGAGGGGCCGAGGCAGCAGAAGGCGCCUGACUCACACAUAUUCCGUGUGAACAGGGGAAGUCAGACCAGCCACGGCGCUGGGACACUUGGAUGUUUUUCUUGUGGCAAAAGCUGCGCUUUUGAAUCUAAAGCGAAGUUUAGCUUUGCAGUUUGGGUCGGUACAGGCGGACUGUCCUCUACACCGGCCAGUGGGUGCGCACAGUCUUCCAGGCCUGCAGGAGGCAGAAGUGGUAGGUUUCCUUGCUGAGCAUGCGCCGUAGCUCUCUCUGCCCGAGGGAGCCUGGGCGUGGGGGGGCGUGGGG
This 991-nucleotide long non-coding RNA is filed under the name Fukomys damarensis (Damara mole-rat). RNAcentral describes it as "lncRNA (ENSFDAG00000023391.1)". Lineage: Eukaryota; Metazoa; Chordata; Mammalia; Rodentia; Bathyergidae. The record is from RNAcentral.